RNAcentral lists this ribosomal RNA (497 nucleotides) under uncultured bacterium. RNAcentral describes it as "partial 16S ribosomal RNA". It matches the Rfam family "Bacterial small subunit ribosomal RNA", at positions 28 to 507 of the family's 1533-position model. The record is from RNAcentral.
GUUGAACGCUGGCGGCGUGCCUAAUACAUGCAAGUCGAGCGAACGGACGAGAAGCUUGCUUCUCUGAUGUUAGCGGCGGACGGGUGAGUAACACGUGGAUAACCUACCUAUAAGACUGGGAUAACUUCGGGAAACCGGAGCUAAUACCGGAUAAUAUUUUGAACCGCAUGGUUCAAUAGUGAAAGACGGUCUUGCUGUCACUUAUAGAUGGAUCCGCGCUGCAUUAGCUAGUUGGUAAGGUAACGGCUUACCAAGGCAACGAUGCAUAGCCGACCUGAGAGGGUGAUCGGCCACACUGGAACUGAGACACGGUCCAGACUCCUACGGGAGGCAGCAGUAGGGAAUCUUCCGCAAUGGGCGAAAGCCUGACGGAGCAACGCCGCGUGAGUGAUGAAGGUCUUCGGAUCGUAAAACUCUGUUAUUAGGGAAGAACAUAUGUGUAAGUAACUGUGCACAUCUUGACGGUACCUAAUCAGAAAGCCACGGCUAACUACGUG